GUCCAAAAGAAAUCCAACUUUCUGGUGACAACCAUUUCAGGAAACGGAUUGUGCAACACCAGUUAGUUUUCAGAAGAAUUAUCUUCGAGGCUCAAAUUGGCACUCAAAAAGACCACAUGCAAUCCACAAUGACACAUUGCAAGUUGCACCUCAGUUCAGUCUUUUAUGCAUUAGUAGAGCAAUUUUUCAAAUUCAGUAAAAGAACUAACACAGGACAAAUAAUUUGCUUGCACAGAAGAUUGAAUCUUUGUUCCUUGAAACAUUAAAACAUUAGGACCUUUGUUCCUCAAACCCUUAAAACAUAAAAAUGGAACCUUUUGAAAGUCCCAAGAAUGAUA
This 338-nucleotide unclassified non-coding RNA is filed under the name Hevea brasiliensis (rubber tree). Lineage: Eukaryota; Viridiplantae; Streptophyta; Magnoliopsida; Malpighiales; Euphorbiaceae. The record is from RNAcentral.